Molecule: long non-coding RNA, 461 nt
Filed under: Vigna radiata
Lineage: Eukaryota; Viridiplantae; Streptophyta; Magnoliopsida; Fabales; Fabaceae
Description: long non-coding RNA (VRAD_LNC002527)
Source: RNAcentral
AGUGAUCUUUUGGUGUGGCGUAGCGGUAGAGGCACGAUACAAGGGGUUUCGUGUUCGUGCAACAGCGGCGGCCUGCAACAGCGACAACGACCGACAGUGGCGACGGUGAUGGCGAGAUCCUUCAGAGCUUGCAACAGUGGUUGGCGCGACAAGUUCUUCUCCCUUCGCAUUCAACGUAUGGUGGAGGUUAAGCUCGCGACGGUGCUUUUGGGUGUCACGUUUGCCGCCGGCGAAGGACGACGGUUUUGGUUUCGCAUUCUGUUUGCUCGCCGCUAUGGGUUUUCUUCUUCGUUAGGUCUUUACCUUUCUCGUUGUGGAAUAGAGGCUUUGCUCUUCGUUCUGGUGUAUUGGCUGGUUCAGGUAUGGUUCGUGACGAAAAGGAGUAGCACACCUGGUUCUGUUGUUCUUGCAGGUGGUGGAGGCUUCUUUCUACAACAUCUGUGAAUCAAAUUCCUUGUCCC